GACGAACGCUGGCGGCGUGCUUAACACAUGCAAGUCGAACGGAAAGGCCCUGCUUUUGUGGGGUGCUCGAGUGGCGAACGGGUGAGUAACACGUGAGUAACCUGCCCUUGACUUUGGGAUAACUUCAGGAAACUGGGGCUAAUACCGGAUAGGAGCUCCUGCUGCAUGGUGGGGGUUGGAAAGUUUCGGCGGUUGGGGAUGGACUCGCGGCUUAUCAGCUUGUUGGUGGGGUAGUGGCUUACCAAGGCUUUGACGGGUAGCCGGCCUGAGAGGGUGACCGGCCACAUUGGGACUGAGAUACGGCCAAGACUCCUACGGGAGGCAGCAGUGGGGAAUAUUGCACAAUGGGCGGAAGCCUGAUGCAGCAACGCCGCGUGCGGGAUGACGGCCUUCGGGUUGUAAACCGCUUGCGCCUGUGACGAAGCGUGAGUGACGGUAAUGGGUAAAGAAGCACCGGCUAACUACGUG
RNAcentral lists this ribosomal RNA (468 nucleotides) under uncultured bacterium. RNAcentral describes it as "partial 16S ribosomal RNA". It matches the Rfam family "Bacterial small subunit ribosomal RNA", at positions 28 to 507 of the family's 1533-position model. The record is from RNAcentral.